AGGACGAACGCUGGCGGCGUGCUUAACACAUGCAAGUCGAGCGGAAAGGCCCUUCGGGGUACUCGAGCGGCGAACGGGUGAGUAACACGUGAGUAAUCUGCCCCUAGCUCUGGGAUAGCUCCGGGAAACCGGGAUUAAUACCGGAUACGACCACCUUAGACAUCUUUUGUGGUGGAAAGAAUUUCGGCUAGGGAUGAGCUCGCGGCCUAUCAGCUUGUUGGUGGGGUAACGGCCUACCAAGGCGACGACGGGUAGCCGGCCUGAGAGGGCGACCGGCCACACUGGGACUGAGACACGGCCCAGACUCCUACGGGAGGCAGCAGUCGGGAAUAUUGCACAAUGGGCGGAAGCCUGAUGCAGCGACGCCGCGUGAGGGAUGACGGCCUUCGGGUUGUAAACCUCUUUCAGCAGGGACGAAGCGCAAGUGACGGUACCUGCAGAAGAAGCGCCGGCCAACUACGCGCCAGCAGCCGC
This 474-nucleotide ribosomal RNA is filed under the name uncultured bacterium. RNAcentral describes it as "SSU rRNA". It matches the Rfam family "Bacterial small subunit ribosomal RNA", at positions 26 to 518 of the family's 1533-position model. The record is from RNAcentral.